This 1584-nucleotide small RNA is filed under the name Pongo abelii (Sumatran orangutan). RNAcentral's name for it is "retained intron". Lineage: Eukaryota; Metazoa; Chordata; Mammalia; Primates; Hominidae. The record is from RNAcentral.
GCUUCCUCCUCUCCGCCACCGCCCUCGCCAUGGCCGCGCCGGCCCCGGGCCUCAUCUCGGUGUUCUCGAGCCCCCAGGAGCUGGGUGCGGCGCUAGCGCAGCUGGUGGCCCAGCGCGCAGCAUGCUGCCUGGCGGGGGCCCGCGCCCGUUUCGCGCUCGGCCUGUCGGGCGGGAGCCUCGUCUCGAUGCUAGCCCGCGAGCUGCCCGCCGCCGUCGCCCCUGCCGGUCUAGCCAGCUUAGCGCGCUGGACGCUGGGCUUCUGCGACGAGCGCCUCGUGCCCUUCGAUCACGCCGAGAGCACGUACGGCCUCUACCGGGUGAGAGCUACGGGGGCCGCCGGGGGUCACGCCGAGAGGGCCACAGCCACCGCCUACACCCCGGCUACGGAGGCCGCCGGGGGCCAUGCCGAGAGGGCCGCGCCCACUGUCUGCACCUUGGCUACAGGGGCCGCUGGGUAUCAUGCCAAGAGGGCCGUGCCCACUGCCCGCACCUCGGCUACGUGGUCCGCUGGAGGUCAUGCCAAGAGGGCCGCGCCCACCGGUUGCACUAGGCUACGGGGGGUCAUGCCGAGAUGGCCUCGCCCACUGCCUGCACCUCGACUACGGGGGCCGCUGGGGGUCUUGCCGACAUGUCUCGCCCGCCGCCUGAACCCCGCCUACAGUGGGUCCCGCAGGACCUCACUGCGCCCUCUGCCUUUAUCUGGGCAGGGCUAGAAAUGGUCUACUUGCAGUCCGUCUUCGUGCUUCAUCCGGUGGCCAGGCAGAGGGAACGGAACGGGCAAGGGCCUGGAAGGGAAUCCGAGUGGCCCAUGUCAAACGAUGCCCAUAACUCAGCCACCUAGCGGACGGGGGCACGAGGAAUCAGGUGUAGAGCCUGAGUCUCAGGGUCCUGAUCUCUAACCCCACCGAGUUCUCGGGGAUCCCUGGGCAGCUUUGCCGCUCUGAUGGCUCUGCUUCCAGGCUAUCUUUGGCUUUGAGCCUCAGGAUUCUAUAGAAUCAGAGGAACGCGCUCUUUUAAAGACGGAAACUGAGGCUUGGAGGAGCCUUGGCCUGGCCGAGGGGAGAGUGGGAGGGGCGGGCUCAAAGGCCAGGAACCUCAAGUCACCUGAGCCUGGCAGCGUUAAGGGACACCCCCUGCUGGGUGUGUCGUCUUCUCUUUGCAUAGAAUCUUGAGCUGAUGAUGGUUUUGUGGGUUUUUUAUUAAGAGAAAAGGCUUACUGAACGCUUUAUAUGCAUCAAUUCAUGAGUCCGUACCACAGCCUAUGAGAUGUUACACUCAUUUCACAGAUGGAGAAACUGAGGCCAGAAGAGGCGAGCUUACCUGCCCAAGGCAUCUAGUGACCAGAGGGGCAGCCUGGGUGUGACCCUGCCUCAUCUGACUUCAUAGUUGGGUACACAUUUAACUUCCGCCUUCCUGUGUGUGUUUUCCAAGAGCAUCGUUAAAAAGUUUUGACCAGGUGCGGUGGCUCACGCCUGUAAUCCCAGCACUUUGGGAGGCCGAGGUGAGUAGAUCACCUGAGGUCAGGAUUUCGAGACCAGCCUGGCCAACAUGGUAAAACCCUGUCUCUACUAAAAAAAAUACAAA